GACAAACGCUGGCGGCGUGCCUAAUACAUGCAAGUCGAGCGCAGGAAACUGACGGAACUCUUCGGAGGGAAGGCAGUGGAAUGAGCGGCGGACGGGUGAGUAACACGUAAGGAACCUGCCUCAAGGAUUGGGAUAACUCCGAGAAAUCGGAGCUAAUACCGGAUAGUUCAUCGGACCGCAUGGUCCGCUGAUGAAAGGCGCUCCGGCGUCACCUUGAGAUGGCCUUGCGGUGCAUUAGCUAGUUGGUGGGGUAACGGCCCACCAAGGCGACGAUGCAUAGCCGACCUGAGAGGGUGAUCGGCCACACUGGGACUGAGACACGGCCCAGACUCCUACGGGAGGCAGCAGUAGGGAAUCUUCCACAAUGGACGAAAGUCUGAUGGAGCAACGCCGCGUGAGUGAUGAAGGUUCUCGGAUCGUAAAACUCUGUUGUAAGGGAAGAACACGUACGAGAGGGAAUGCUCGUACCUUGACGGUACCUUACGAGAAAGCCACGGCUAACUACGUGCCAGCAGCCGCAGUAA
This 524-nucleotide ribosomal RNA is filed under the name uncultured bacterium. RNAcentral describes it as "partial 16S ribosomal RNA". It matches the Rfam family "Bacterial small subunit ribosomal RNA", at positions 28 to 523 of the family's 1533-position model. The record is from RNAcentral.